RNAcentral lists this transfer RNA (18 nucleotides) under Martes foina (beach marten). Its description in RNAcentral is "partial tRNA-Pro". The record is from RNAcentral. Lineage: Eukaryota; Metazoa; Chordata; Mammalia; Carnivora; Mustelidae.
CAGGGAAUAGUUUAGUUA